ACGCACGCUGGCGGCGUGCUUAACACAUGCAAGUCGAACGGGUCUGCCCUGUUUUUUGCGGGGUGGGUCAGUGGCGAACGGGUGAGUAACACGUGAGUAACCUGCCCCUCACUUCUGGAUAACCGCUUGAAAGGGUGGCUAAUACGGGGUGUUCUGGCUGUGCCGCAUGGUGUGGCUGGGAAAGAUUCACUUUUGUGGUGUUUUGGUGGGGGAUGGGCUCGCGGCCUAUCAGCUUGUUGGUGGGGUGAUGGCCUGCCAAGGCUUUGACGGGUAGCCGGCCUGGGAGGGUGGGCGGCCACACGGGGACUGCGAGACGGCCGAGACUCCUGGGGGGGGCAGCAGUGGGGGGUAUUGCACAAUGGGCGGAAGCCUGAUGCAGCGACGUCGCGUGAGGGAUGGAGGCCUUCGGGUUGUGAACCUCUUUCGCCGGUGAAGAAGGUCCUGCUCUUUGGGGGGGGGUUGACGGUAGCCGGGUUAUGAAGCGCCGGCUAACUACGUG
Molecule: ribosomal RNA, 499 nt
Filed under: uncultured bacterium
Lineage: Bacteria
Description: partial 16S ribosomal RNA
Rfam family: Bacterial small subunit ribosomal RNA
Source: RNAcentral